This is a long non-coding RNA of Centrocercus urophasianus (Greater sage-grouse), 2272 nucleotides long. RefSeq lists it as uncharacterized. The record is from RefSeq and is a predicted model, not a curated record. NCBI's taxonomy places the organism in Eukaryota, Metazoa, Chordata, Aves, Galliformes, Phasianidae. The transcript is spliced from 3 exons.
CCUUGGAAGAUAGACAAUACUCUGUGUUUUGCAGUUAUUUGGUUGUUUGGUUUUUGCAGUUUUUUAGUGUGUGUUUAACAGGGAUUUAUUAUCUGGGCUUUGUUGUGACCAACCUGGGCUUAUUUUCAUCAUUGCCUUGCAGGAUGUCUCCUGAUGACAGAAGCAUUGAUAAGCAUUUAACAAAAGAAAACGUGGAUCUCUGGGGGCAUUCAGACAGUUUGGUACUAAAAAUGGAGCAGUAGAGAGGGAAGGUGGUUUCCCCUCUUCCGUGCCACGCUUGAACCUGUAAACUAAUUAUUUGAUGGGGGAAACACAUCUCCUGGAGAAAUCUAAAGAUCCGUAUUCGGUCCAUAUCCCUGAUACACAGCCAACAGUGGUUUUUACUGUGAAGUGACUCUUACUUGUGAGAAGGAAGCAGUCUAUUUUAAGAAUAAUGAUUACACUAAGAGUAGGAGAAAUGCAAUUGCAAAUAAUGUCCAAAAAGUCAAAUAUAUCUUGGUAUCGCGUGGUACUUGAAGACAUUUGCACAGCUCCAUUAAUGACUGGACAACUAAUAACUGUAUCUGUUACUGUAAGAGAAGACACGGUGGAAUUCUCCCUGGACAUCAUUCAUCUAUGAAUCCAGGGCAGAGAUCAUGAUUAUCUCAAGACUGGCACCUCCUGUCUAUCCCAGACAGCACCAUCUUGCAUAGAAGUUUGGAUAAUGCACCUGAACAGUGAAGACUUGACCUCUGUCAGCCCAUGAAUGUUUCAUUUUGCUUUUGUUCACAGAUGCCUAAAUCAUUACCCUAAGUUCAGACUGAAAAAGGGUCCAGGGGUUAACAGGCUCAUAUGUUUCUUCUAAUGACAUCAGCUAAUAAAAGAUGCUACUUUCUCUCUGAACCCUCCUCACUAUUGGUGUGCUACCUGUCUGAAUCCGGGCUAGGGAUACCACCAAAGAAUUUGGAAACUGACCUGAAUUUAUUGAUUAGGAUCAUCAUAUUCUUAACAGAAUGCCGGUGGCAGACAAAAACGGUGUAUGGAACUGCAAAGUACUGUUUUUGUUCCUGGAAGUUUGAUUUUACAGACCUUCUUAAAAUUAAUUUUUGUUAAUCCUGUAUCACAAUGUAACAUGACUCCAAAAGAUACCUUAAUAAAGCCAGUGCAGUCCACAUUAUUACCAAGUAAAUGUACAAACUGUCAAAUCUUCAUGAAUUAAUUAACUUCUCAUUUUAUUGAGGAUGGUGUCAAUCCACUUGUCAUAGGAACUCUUAUCCUGAAAUUAUAGAACUAGGGACAUAAGUAGAAAUGUUCCCAGUUCUAUAAUUUGGAAAUAGAAUGAACAAGUAUACCUCAGUAUUUUUAUUUUAGGCCUAAGUGUCAUUUUUGAAAAUUACUUAAUGCUGAGGAAUCUGCCUCCCCUAUGUGAUACUUGCUCUGCUUUUUCUGGAUCAUCACAAGUAGAACACUACCGAACACAGCCUGACAGGUGGCUGGAAGACUCCUUCAGAAUAGACAAGACCCAACAUGUAUGGCAGUUGUCUAUGCUGUUUGUCAAAUAAUCAUAAAUGCCUCUACAGCCUUUGGGAUACUGUGAGUUACCCUUGGGUUUACACAGUGCUGGAUGGCAGGCAGGUCAGGCAAAGUUUUAUGCCUACUUCUGUUCUCAAAAUUAAAUGUUGAACAGAUAUAGGUAAUGAGUUUCAGAGUGUUCACUAAUUGUAUCUUGGCUUUCAAGUGCCUCCAGUACUAGCAGUUUUGUGAGUGUGGAAAGGAAAAAAUUUCCUUCUGUAAUACUACAGCAUAUAUUGCUUGGAAUACUUAAUUUAAGUGAUUUGGGCUGACAAAAAAAUCUUGCUUGAACAUCCUCCCUGGGGAAGCUGCUGAAUUCAAGGAGAAACCUUGUUACUAUAAGCAAAAACUGUUUUCAGAAUAUUCUUCUAGCCUUCUGUAGUUUACUGUUUCUCUUUCCCAGUUUUGAAUUCCAGUGUAUGGAGAAAUUUAAAUGAUUUAUUAAAAGAUGCAAUCUGGGAUGCAGUGUGAGAAAUCAUACAGUCACAAUUUGUUCUUAGUUUUAAGAGGCAUGUGUCUCCAAGAGACCUUUCUUCACUGAAGGUUUAGUUGUCCUUUUGUAUAGAUAAUUUCAUAGACCACUUGAUGUCACCCUUGUGCUCCCCUAAAACAAACACACAGCAGUAAAAGAAAAAGAAUGUAGUUUUAAAGUUCUGGAUGUGCUAUGAGAAGAUAAAUGAUAGGUUAUUACCAGAAUAUGGAUAUUCUAGGAUAGUUUAUA